AUGAAUUGGAUCUCCAUGCUCCUUUCCUCUGGUACUUCUUCAGUGUUGCUCAAUGGGGUGCCAGGAAAAUUCUUUCAUUGCAAUCAAGGGGUCAGACAAGGAGACCCUAUCUCUCCUUUGCUAUUUGUGUUGGCAGCUGACCUACUCCAAUCCACCCUCAAUGAAGCUAUGCAAAAUCAUCUGAUUCUUCCUCCUAUUGUUAGUCAAGCUUGCCCUGACUUCCCAGUGAUUCAGUUUGCUAAUGAUACCAUCUUAGUCCUGCCAGCUGAUAUGAGACAAAUUGAGCAAGUCAAAAAUCUCCUCCUUCAUACUCUGCUUUCACAGGUCUGA
This 330-nucleotide ribosomal RNA is filed under the name Triticum aestivum (bread wheat). RNAcentral describes it as "partial small subunit ribosomal RNA". The record is from RNAcentral. Lineage: Eukaryota; Viridiplantae; Streptophyta; Magnoliopsida; Poales; Poaceae.